GGUUGUGGCUCAGUGGUAGAGUGCUUGCCUAGCAGAGGUGAGGCACUGAGUUCAAUCCUCAGCACCA
RNAcentral lists this transfer RNA (67 nucleotides) under Marmota monax (woodchuck). RNAcentral describes it as "tRNA.Ala". The record is from RNAcentral. Lineage: Eukaryota; Metazoa; Chordata; Mammalia; Rodentia; Sciuridae.